CAAGAAUCGAGGCUGACGGUGCCUACUCCCUAGGCUCCGUCCAGUCCCGCUCUCUGCCUUGCCUACUGCACCGUUUGUUGCUUCCUGGCGGCGUCCCGUCGCCAGGGCCUUUUGAAAGCCAAGUAUAAGCAUUGAAACUUCUGACAUACACUAAAUCGUA
RNAcentral lists this unclassified non-coding RNA (160 nucleotides) under soil metagenome. RNAcentral's name for it is "partial internal transcribed spacer 1". The record is from RNAcentral.